This 332-nucleotide ribosomal RNA is filed under the name uncultured bacterium. RNAcentral describes it as "bacterial SSU rRNA". It matches the Rfam family "Bacterial small subunit ribosomal RNA", at positions 568 to 898 of the family's 1533-position model. The record is from RNAcentral.
AGCGUAGGCGGCGUUGUAAGUUAUAUGUGAAAUCCCACGGCUUAACCGUGGAACUGCAUAUAAGACUGCAAUGCUUGAGUGUGGGAGGGGAAAGCGGAAUUCCUAGUGUAGCGGUGGAAUGCGUAGAUAUUAGGAGGAACACCGGUGGCGAAGGCGGCUUUCUGGACCAUAACUGACGCUGAGGCUCGAAAGCGUGGGGAGCAAACAGGAUUAGAUACCCUGGUAGUCCACGCUGUAAACGAUGAAUACUAGACGCUGGGGGUAUUGACUCCUCCGGUGUCGUAGCAAACGCGAUAAGUAUUCCGCCUGGGGAGUACGGCCGCAAGGUUGAA